This 535-nucleotide ribosomal RNA is filed under the name Bifidobacterium longum subsp. infantis. RNAcentral's name for it is "bacterial SSU rRNA". It matches the Rfam family "Bacterial small subunit ribosomal RNA", at positions 146 to 696 of the family's 1533-position model. Lineage: Bacteria; Bacillati; Actinomycetota; Actinomycetes; Bifidobacteriales; Bifidobacteriaceae. The record is from RNAcentral.
UCUCCUGGAAAAGGGUGGUAAUGCCGGAUGCUCCAGUUGAUCGCAUGGUCUUCUGGGAAAGCUUUCGCGGUAUGGGAUGGGGUCGCGUCCUAUCAGCUUGACGGCGGGGUAACGGCCCACCGUGGCUUCGACGGGUAGCCGGCCUGAGAGGGCGACCGGCCACAUUGGGACUGAGAUACGGCCCAGACUCCUACGGGAGGCAGCAGUGGGGAAUAUUGCACAAUGGGCGCAAGCCUGAUGCAGCGACGCCGCGUGAGGGAUGGAGGCCUUCGGGUUGUAAACCUCUUUUAUCGGGGAGCAAGCGAGAGUGAGUUUACCCGUUGAAUAAGCACCGGCUAACUACGUGCCAGCAGCCGCGGUAAUACGUAGGGUGCAAGCGUUAUCCGGAAUUAUUGGGCGUAAAGGGCUCGUAGGCGGUUCGUCGCGUCCGGUGUGAAAGUCCAUCGCUUAACGGUGGAUCCGCGCCGGGUACGGGCGGGCUUGAGUGCGGUAGGGGAGACUGGAAUUCCCGGUGUAACGGUGGAAUGUGUAGAUA